This 230-nucleotide ribosomal RNA is filed under the name uncultured bacterium. Its description in RNAcentral is "partial 16S ribosomal RNA". It matches the Rfam family "Bacterial small subunit ribosomal RNA", at positions 562 to 791 of the family's 1533-position model. The record is from RNAcentral.
AAAGCGUCCGCAGGCGGCCUUGAAAGUCUGUUGUUAAAGCGUGGAGCUCAACUCCAUUUCAGCAAUGGAAACUACAAGGCUAGAGUGUGGUAGGGGCAGAGGGAAUUCCCGGUGUAGCGGUGAAAUGCGUAGAUAUCGGGAAGAACACCAGUGGCGAAGGCGCUCUGCUGGGCCAUAACUGACGCUCAUGGACGAAAGCCAGGGGAGCGAAAGGGAUUAGAUACCCCUGU